CUGACCUGAGCUGAAGUUGGACGUUCAACCGACUGAGGCACCCUGGUGCCCCAUGAGCAAGACACAUUUCUGUCACCAUGGAUUCCUCCAACAUGAGUGAAAAAUUGGAAUGACAGUAUCGGAAGGUCUGGGGACAUCUGUCUGUCACAAAGGAAGCAUGGUAGCUGCCAACCCAUUGUUUAGAAGAAUCCAGGGAAUGGCUCCAGGUCAAGAGUGGAUGAGAAGGGCCAAGCAGUUACCUGUUUCUCCCGGGGAAACUUCAGAUAUAGCCCUCACAGAGUGAUGGUCUAUACCCAUAAUAAUGGCCAAGACCCAAGACAGUGCUCCAUUCACAUUGCUGCAGGUGUCACCUAUGAAUCACAAGGACAGCCCCAAAUCCUGCAGCUCUCCCUUGCUCUGCAAAUGAAGGCGGCAGCAAUGAUCAAGACUGGAAUCUUCCCAAGGCUCACCUGUAUAUCCCCAAAUAGUCCAUGUGUAUCUACUACGUGUUGGGUCCCAUUCUGGGCACUGAAGACAGAGGAGUGAACAAGGUGAGUUCUCUCAUGGAUUUGGGUACCAUUGGCGGUGGUGGGGGGAUACUUCCAACAAGCAAACAAGGAAAACCUCAAGAUAGCUUUCUUCCACCCCCUUAGAUCUGUCCUCAAAGGGCACUUUCUCGGGGAGUCCUUUUCCCAUGACCGAAGUGAAAUUCCCUCCCUCCACACACCCUCACACAUAUACCACAGUACUCAACCUCUCAUGCUGUAUAUCCACUACCUGGCUGUCCCACUAGAAUAUAAACUCAAUAACGGCCGUUUACUUCAAUGUACCCCCCUUGCCUAAAAUAUCUGGUACACAGGAGACACCCAGUAGGUAUUUGUUGAAUGAACAUGUGAACUGUGGACAGGAAGAGCCGGUCUAAUUAACCCGGAAGCCGAGAGUGAGCCCGCGGCACCACUCACUGAAGAGACAGAGAGUGGGGUCAGUGGGGCUGGAUGAAAGAAGCAAGACUGAGGAGGUGUGGAGGGCCAGUCGGGUGGGAUUUUCCUUUCAAUCGGAGUGUGAGGGGAAGCCAGAAGAUGACGUUACUGGAGUCGGAAUGCCAUGUGAACGCUGGGGGUGGGGGCGGGGGUCUGUGGAGGGUGGUGCUGGGAUCUGACGGAGGCAGGGAGACCACUCGGGCUACCCGGCUGUCCCGGCAGGAGCGGCUCACUGCUUGCACCAGGGCAAGGGGA
Long non-coding RNA from Felis catus (domestic cat), 1214 nucleotides. RefSeq lists it as uncharacterized. The record is from RefSeq and is a predicted model, not a curated record. NCBI's taxonomy places the organism in Eukaryota, Metazoa, Chordata, Mammalia, Carnivora, Felidae. The transcript has 5 exons.